GAUGAACGCUGGCGGCAUGCCUAAUACAUGCAAGUCGAACGAGAGGAAGGAAAGCUUGCUUUUCUGAAUCUAGUGGCGAACGGGUGAGUAACACGUAGGUAACCUGCUCAUGUGCCCGGGAUAACUUCUGGAAACGGAUGCUAAAACCGGAUAGGUAGCAGACAAGCAUUUGACUGCUAUUAAAGUGGCUAAGGCCAUGAACAUGGAUGGACCUGCGGUGCAUUAGCUAGUUGGUGAGGUAACGGCCCACCAAGGCGACGAUGCAUAGCCGGCCUGAGGGGGCGGACGGACACAUUGGGACUGAGACACGGCCCAAGCUCCUGCGGGAGGCAGCAGUAGGGAAUUUUCGUCGAUGGAGGGAACCCUGAACGAGCAAUGCCGCGUGAGUGAGGAAGGUCUGCGGAUCGUAAAGCUCUGUUGUAAGAGAAAAACGACAUUCAUAGGGAAUGAUGAGUGAGUGAUGGUAUCUUACCAGAAAGUCACGGCUAACUACGUGCCAGCAGCCGCGGUAA
RNAcentral lists this ribosomal RNA (512 nucleotides) under uncultured bacterium. RNAcentral describes it as "partial 16S ribosomal RNA". It matches the Rfam family "Bacterial small subunit ribosomal RNA", at positions 28 to 523 of the family's 1533-position model. The record is from RNAcentral.